GGAUGCGAUCAUACCAGCACUAAAGGGCGGGAUCCCAUCAGAACUCCGAAGUUAAGCGUGCUUGGGCGAGAGUAGUACUAGGAUGGGUGACCUCUUGGGAAGUCCUCGUGUUGCAUCCC
RNAcentral lists this ribosomal RNA (119 nucleotides) under Oryza sativa Indica Group (long-grained rice). Lineage: Eukaryota; Viridiplantae; Streptophyta; Magnoliopsida; Poales; Poaceae. The record is from RNAcentral.